CUCAGUAAGCAUUCCUGAAAUGUAAUCAGAAUGAUUUGGGUUGGAAGGGACCUGUAAGAUCAUCUAGUUCCAACACCCUGCUAUAGGCAGGGACGCCUGCCUCUAGACCAGGUUGCUCAAAGGUAAUGUGGAAAGGACAUUAGUGUUCUUGUUACCUAGCAGUAGCAAAUAAAAAAAGCCUAAAUCAAGUGCAUCUGAAAUCUGGAAAGGUUUAUCUGGAGCAGAAAGCAAAGGUGCAUGAUAACAUUUUAAAUCAGCAUCUUAGGGUGACUGAUUAAGCCUACUUCUCUGACAAAAGCUGUGUCUUGGGGCACUGACCUGUGACCUCUCCAGGUGGCCUGGCCUCGCUGUGUGCUCAUUAGCUCCACAGGCUCAUUAGCUGCAGCUGGGAGCCAUCCCCUCCCAUCUGCCCAGCCUGCAGACUUCUUCAGGGUGCCCUGUGCAUCCCACAUCCUCCUCAGACACCCUCAUGGGAAGCCUGAACUGCCCCACAGCUCCCACAUCCCCUUCCCAGUGGGGAGCCCCUCUCCCAGCCCCUGAGAAUCCCCUGCCAUUGAGGUGCCUCUGGAGCAUCUCUCUGCCUGGCACACCUAGAGCUGUGAGAGGUGGGAGGACACCUGGCUGAGGGAGGCCAGAUCGUGUUAAUCAGCCUCGUUUGUUGUGACCAGCCUCACCUGGCACUUCCCCACACCCAGAGACUCAGGAGUCAAUUUGAGCUCAAGCCACAGAUUCUGCUAUGCUGUACACUGUUGCUCCUCUCUAAAUUGGGCUUCAGUGCAUUGCUUUUGGGGAUGAAUGAAUUCCGCAGAAGUGGUGGAGCUCCUUGUGUUUCACUGGCUGCAAUGGAACUGGUGCUGCUGUCUCCAAGCUAUUGAAGCUGCUGGAUGUUUUUUCUUCAGACUUGUGAAAAAGAUAUGCCGAAAGCCAGGUUCUUUGCUGUGUUGUGACUUACAUAAACCACUGCUUUCUACCCUGUACAAGCUUUUUAUCAGCUGGAGAUCCUGUGAGUCAACAUUUCAUUCUUCAAGAAUACCCAUUAAUUACUUUGUCAUUCUAGAUGUUAUUAUAAAACUUAUGUUUUUGUAGAUAAGCACAAGAGGGUUUGCAGGCACAGUAGUGGUGCAAAGUGUAACUUGCAUCAAGAGAUUUGUGUUAUCAGUUCCCUAACUUAUUUUGAUAUCAAGUAGGGAGGUUGCAAGGAUGCAUGGAGCAUGGAAAAAACUAACUGUGAAAGAUGAGAGUAACCAGCAAGGCUGCAGUACAACUAAAGGAGAGUCAUAUGGGUGUGAUGGAAAUCAAAUAUUAAUCAAAUAUUAAGACAAAACCAUAACUAUUUCUGAUAAAAUAGAUGCUGUCCGCUUGUAAGGGUAUGAUUUGGUCAAGAAUGGUUUUGAAAAUGGGGACUGUGCCUUGGUACAUUCUGAAGAUCCUUUCAGACUUGUUUUCUAUGUUUUUCAAUGUUGUGUUUAACGAUCUCUCUGAAGUUGAUGUGAAGUCUUUUGUCCUACAGUUGCACACUCAUAAGAUGCUCUUGGCAUGACUAGAAAGCAAACCAAACAGGCUUUGUUCAUUCCUACAAC
Molecule: long non-coding RNA, 1580 nt
Filed under: Phasianus colchicus (ring-necked pheasant)
Lineage: Eukaryota; Metazoa; Chordata; Aves; Galliformes; Phasianidae
Description: lncRNA (ENSPCLG00000017755.1)
Source: RNAcentral